CGAACGCUGGCGGCGUGCUUAACACAUGCAAGUCGAACGGUGAAGCGCCUUCCUUUUUGGUGGGUGUGGAUGAGUGGCGAACGGGUGAGUAACACGUGAGUAACCUGCCCCCUUCUUCUGGAUAACCGCAUGAAAGUGUGGCUAAUACGGGAUAUUCUGGGUCUGUCGCAUGAUGGGUCUGGGAAAGAUAUUGUUUCGGUGGGGGAUGGGCUCGCGGCCUAUCAGCUUGUUGGUGGGGUGAUGGCCUACCAGGGCGGUGACGGGUAGCGGGCCUGAGGGGGUGGAGGUCUGCGAGGGGGCAGGGCCACGGCCGGACUGACAAGGGGAGCAGGCGGGUGGGGGAGUGACCAGUGGGGAGCAGGCCUGAGGCGGCGGGGCCGGGGGGGGGAGGGGGGCCGUGGGGUUGGACCCCCUUUUGGCAGUGAAAAGAGGCCGCCUUUGUUGGUGGGUGGGUGAAGGUAAGGGGGAAAGAAGCCCCGGCUAAACAAGUG
Molecule: ribosomal RNA, 491 nt
Filed under: uncultured bacterium
Lineage: Bacteria
Description: partial 16S ribosomal RNA
Rfam family: Bacterial small subunit ribosomal RNA
Source: RNAcentral